AGUGAACGCUGGCGGUAGGCCUAACACAUGCAAGUCGAACGGCAGCACAGUAAGAGCUUGCUCUUACGGGUGGCGAGUGGCGGACGGGUGAGGAAUACAUCGGAAUCUACUUUUUCGUGGGGGAUAACGUAGGGAAACUUACGCUAAUACUGCAUACGACCUACGGGUGAAAGCAGGGGAUCUUCGGACCUUGCGCGAUUGAAUGAGCCGAUGUCGGAUUAGCUAGUUGGCGGGGUAAAGGCCCACCAAGGCGACGAUCCGUAGCUGGUCUGAGAGGAUGAUCAGCCACACUGGAACUGAGACACGGUCCAGACUCCUACGGGAGGCAGCAGUGGGGAAUAUUGGACAAUGGGCGCAAGCCUGAUCCAGCCAUACCGCGUGGGUGAAGAAGGCCUUCGGGUUGUAAAGCCCUUUUGUUGGGAAAGAAAAGCAGCAGGUUAAUACCCCGCUGUUCUGACGGUACCCAAAGAAUAAGCACUGGCUAACUUCGUG
This 492-nucleotide ribosomal RNA is filed under the name uncultured bacterium. RNAcentral's name for it is "partial 16S ribosomal RNA". It matches the Rfam family "Bacterial small subunit ribosomal RNA", at positions 29 to 507 of the family's 1533-position model. The record is from RNAcentral.